RNAcentral lists this long non-coding RNA (766 nucleotides) under Numida meleagris (helmeted guineafowl). Its description in RNAcentral is "lncRNA (ENSNMEG00000014050.1)". Lineage: Eukaryota; Metazoa; Chordata; Aves; Galliformes; Numididae. The record is from RNAcentral.
AUGCUGCUCUGUGUCUCAUCUCCAUCUUUGUGGUUUUCAGGGCUCAAAAAGACAAGGGUACAGCUGACCCGACGUAGUGAUGGUUCAAGGCGUGGUCAAAGGCAUGCAGUAGAUGACCGUGGUCAUCGUUUCAACCAGCAUUUCUAUCUCUUCUCCAUUAAGCUGGACAAAGUCAGGCACAAGGACCAAGAUGAGAGAAAAGCAAGGACCUGGAGAAGUCGAGGACGUUUGCACCUCUGCCUGCAUGCCCUGAGCAGAGCAGCCACUGAAGAAAUCCAGCAUUCCUUUUUUCUCCAUGCAGAACAACAAGCCGUGCCUUCAGAUGUCUUUCAGGCUAGCAUGAAGGAUUCUGUAUCCACAUAAAGCAAUCUUUUAUCACAAAAAAACUCUACAACAAAUGCCAAGCCAGAAGUCCUGGAAGAGCUUCAUGCAGUGCUGCUGUACUUUGACAUUAGCCCAAGUCACAGGGAUGAGCAAACGUGGGGAAAAGAAGCCCAGCAACAGAAAUUGAACUUGUGAAGUCUCAAAGUACCGACAGAGCUCUGAGCCGGUGACUCUAACUUCAUCCACACACAUUUGAAAGUUGGGGGGUAAACUAAAAAAUCAGUCUUGAAGGCUGCUUACAAGUCUCAGGGAGAACGCAAGCUUCUAGAGGCAAUGCUUUAAUCUCCAAUAUCAGGCAGUGGGAGAGGGCAUAUUUUGGAACAGUUUUGGAAAGCUAAGUUUUGCAAUCUAAAAUAAAUUUAAGCCUAAUCCUUUAGUCUCA